UACGUAGGCAGCGAGCGUUGUUCGGAGUUACUGGGCGUAAAGAGUGCGUAGGCGGUUUUCUAAGUUUGGUGUGAAAUCUCCCGGCUUAACUGGGAGGGUGCGCCGAAAACUGGAAGGCUUGAGUAUGGGAGAGGUAAGCGGAAUUCCUGGUGUAGCGGUGAAAUGCGUAGAUAUCAGGAGGAACACCUGCGGUGUAGACGGCUUACUGGACCAUAACUGACGCUGAGGCACGAAAGCGUGAGUAGCAAACAGG
Molecule: ribosomal RNA, 253 nt
Filed under: uncultured bacterium
Lineage: Bacteria
Description: partial 16S ribosomal RNA
Rfam family: Bacterial small subunit ribosomal RNA
Source: RNAcentral